This 393-nucleotide ribosomal RNA is filed under the name Salmonella enterica subsp. enterica serovar Kentucky. RNAcentral's name for it is "bacterial SSU rRNA". It matches the Rfam family "Bacterial small subunit ribosomal RNA", at positions 865 to 1258 of the family's 1533-position model. The record is from RNAcentral. Lineage: Bacteria; Pseudomonadati; Pseudomonadota; Gammaproteobacteria; Enterobacterales; Enterobacteriaceae.
UAGACCGCCUGGGGAGUACGGCCGCAAGGUUAAAACUCAAAUGAAUUGACGGGGGCCCGCACAAGCGGUGGAGCAUGUGGUUUAAUUCGAUGCAACGCGAAGAACCUUACCUGGUCUUGACAUCCACAGAACUUUCCAGAGAUGGAUUUGUGCCUUCGGGAACUGUGAGACAGGUGCUGCAUGGCUGUCGUCAGCUCGUGUUGUGAAAUGUUGGGUUAAGUCCCGCAACGAGCGCAACCCUUAUCCUUUGUUGCCAGCGAUUAGGUCGGGAACUCAAAGGAGACUGCCAGUGAUAAACUGGAGGAAGGUGGGGAUGACGUCAAGUCAUCAUGGCCCUUACGACCAGGGCUACACACGUGCUACAAUGGCGCAUACAAAGAGAAGCGACCUCGC